CCUACGGGGGGCUGCAGUGAGGAAUAUUGGGCAAUGGGCGAAAGCCUGACCCAGCAACGCCGCGUGGAGGAUGAAGGCUUUAGGGUUGUAAACUCCUUUUGUGGGGGAAAAGAAUGGAUGGUACCCCAAGAAUAAGUCACGGCUAACUACGUGCCAGCAGCCGCGGUAAUACGUAGGUGACAAGCGUUAUCCGGAAUUACUGGGCGUAAAGCGCACGCAGGCGGUCAGAUAAGUCUGAUGUGAAACCUUCUGGCUUAACCAGAAGACGUCGUUGGAUACUGUUUGACUUGAGGCGAUGAGAGGAAGGCGGAAUCCCCGGUGUAAUGGUGGAAUAUGUAGAUAUCGGGGGGAACAUCUGAGGCGAAAGCGGCAUUCUGGCAUUAGCCUGACGCUCAUGUGCGAAAGCGUGGGGAGCAAACGGGAUUAGAUACCCUAGUAGUC
RNAcentral lists this ribosomal RNA (441 nucleotides) under uncultured bacterium. RNAcentral describes it as "partial 16S ribosomal RNA". It matches the Rfam family "Bacterial small subunit ribosomal RNA", at positions 338 to 795 of the family's 1533-position model. The record is from RNAcentral.